Molecule: ribosomal RNA, 505 nt
Filed under: uncultured prasinophyte
Lineage: Eukaryota; Viridiplantae; Chlorophyta
Description: SSU rRNA
Rfam family: Eukaryotic small subunit ribosomal RNA
Source: RNAcentral
CUAAUUCAGGGAGGUAGUGACAAAAAAUAACAAUAGCGGGCCUUUUUAGGUCUGCUUUUUGGAAUGAGAGCAAUUUAAAAACCUCAUCGAGGAUCCAUUGGAGGGCAAGUCUGGUGCCAGCAGCCGCGGUAAUUCCAGCUCCAAUAGCGUAUAUUUAAGUUGUUGCAGUUAAAAAGCUCGUAGUUGGAUUUCGGGUGUGAACGACCGGUCCGUCUUUGAUGUGUACUGGUUGGUUGCGCCUUAUUGUCGAGGACGUGGUUCUAGCUUUCAUUAGCCGGGACACGGAGUCGGCAGCGUUACUUUGAGAAAAUUAGAGUGUUCAAAGCAGGCUAUCGCUCUGAAUACUACAGCAUGGAAUAACACGAUAGGACUCCGAGCCUAUUCUGUUGGUCUUCGGGACCGGAGUAAUGAUUAAGAGGGACAGUUGGGGGCAUUCGUAUUCCGAUGUCAGAGGUGAAAUUCUUGGAUUAUCGGAAGACGAACAUCUGCGAAAGCAUUUGCCAAG